AAACAAACCCUGUUCAUAGCUCUCCUCGUAAGGUGCAGAAUCAUGAAGGUAGUCAUAAUCCUCAACGAUUGGGUCCCGUUGUUGACCGUGGCCGUCAUACCCCUCAGCUAACUGCUGAGGGGCACAGGCCAACUGGAGGUAGUAGCACCAUUAAUCAUGAUGGUGCUAAUUAUGUAGGAAACAAAGGACACAAGCUAAUUGGAAUUGAUCCAAUUGGGAAUCACAACUACGAUGGUGAUCGUCGUGCACCAAUAGUUGUAGGGGAUCCAAAAGAAGGACGCAAAUCGAUUGGAAUUAGUCCAAACAAUUAUGAUGGUAGUAAUGGCAAUGGUGGUGAGCGACGUGUAGUAAGGGAUCCAAAGGAAGGGUACAAGCCAAUUGGAAUUAGUCCAAUUAGGAGUGGCAACUAUGAUGGUACUAACGGAUAUGGUGGUGAUCGUCGUGCAAUAGGAGAUCCAAAGGAAGGGUACAAGACAAAGCCAAUUGGAAUUAGUCCAAUUAAGAGUGGCAACUAUGAUAGUAAUAAUGGCUAUGGUGGUGACCAUCGUGCACCGGCAGUAGGAGAUCCAAGUAAAGGGUACAAAUCAAUUGGAAUUAGUCCAAUUAGGAGUGACAACUAUGGUGGUACUAAUCACUAUGAUGGUUAUAAUAAUGGAUAUGGUGGUCAUAAUAUUGUGAAUUACAACAACAGAUCCAAUCCCAAUGGGCCAAAAAUUAGUUCAAACUGGAGUGCUGCACCGAGACAAGGGACCCAACUAAGUGAACCAAUUAAUGAUAUUGACAAGGCUAUGGAAUUGUUGAAGAUGGAAGCUGCAAAGCGUGAUCACCAGCGUAGCAUUAGCAACAACACUCAGUACUACGAUGGUAGUAUUAAUGCUUCUCCUACCGGAAGGCCUUAUGGUGGAAACUUUAUUCAAUCACAGCCACGCAUGUCACCAACACCUGUCACAUACAUUCCUGACGAUGAUGAUGAUGAUGAUUAUAAUUACUACACGAUGGAUAAUACAGGACGUUAUGGAGGACAUCAUAAUUCAAUCAUUGACAGUAGGGAGGCUGAGAAGAGGUUUAAAGGCACCAGGGUCUGAAUAUUAAUUAGCUACUCCUUUUUAUAAGAGACAGUUUAGUUAAAAUUUGGUAAGUUGUUGUAAGUACUUCAUAUCAAAAAGUAUUGAUUAUAUAUAACUAAUAAUUAGUAUAUAUAUAGUUGUCUGUAUUUAAGAUUAAUCUAUACCUUUUUAGUGUAUAGAUCAUCGAUCUAUACCUGUAUUGUUAUGUAUUGAUUAGAUAAGCAAAAAUAUAGUGUAAAAUAUAAGAUGUAAGGGUUGAAUGAAUAAAUAAAUAUGUGGAGUGUUUAUUAAGUAAUACCUCUUUCUUAAUUAUUGGUUGAUUGUUUGUUUUUAAUUUAUUUUUGUUGAAAAAUGGUGGUGCACUCAAGAAGC
This 1439-nucleotide long non-coding RNA is filed under the name Cicer arietinum (chickpea). RNAcentral's name for it is "long non-coding RNA (CARI_LNC000967)". Lineage: Eukaryota; Viridiplantae; Streptophyta; Magnoliopsida; Fabales; Fabaceae. The record is from RNAcentral.